This 5269-nucleotide long non-coding RNA is filed under the name Volvox carteri. RNAcentral describes it as "long non-coding RNA (VCAR_LNC000477)". The record is from RNAcentral. Lineage: Eukaryota; Viridiplantae; Chlorophyta; Chlorophyceae; Chlamydomonadales; Volvocaceae.
ACAGGCCUCCCCGAGCCUGCGCAACUGGAGCUCGCCCGCAUGGCGGAUGACCUGAAGCGCGUGCAGGCCUUCCUGGGCAUGAGCCCCGCCGGUGUGGUGCCGGUGGCUGCUGCAGCCCCCGAGGUCGCCAAGGCCGUGGCGGUGGCGCCGGCGGAGGGCCGCAACACGGGUGUGGAGCCGUGGGGCGCACCGGGCAGGGAGCCAAGACAACCAGGACAGGAAGUCAAGAACCUGGGUGAGUUGCGGUCGGCGGGUGCCGCCAUAAUAAAAAGGGUUGACACAAUUGGGGCUUGAUGUGCUCAAGGCCCUAUCCUCCAAGGAUCAUGCCGGCACGUCCGGAGAUGGAGUUACCGCAACUACGGAAUUUUGCACAUGGCUCGUGGAGUAAGUUCAUUUUGAUGGCCUGAGAUGUGAAAAGGGGAUGUUUCGCCGCGACCCAGCUUCGUUUCUCAUGCGGUCUCCUGUUGUUGCUGCUAGCUACCCUGAUCUCCCUGGGCAGCCGCUCUGGACUCUUUCAUUCCCUUUUCCCUCUGAUUCCCUCUGAUUCCUUUUGUCUAUCCUUUCCCAUUUCCUUGCUGCCAUGUAAAUGUAAGCAAUGUGUGCCGCCCAUCCGCCUCCUGGCUCGUCUCGGCCUUACAAACUCAACCUUUGCCACAUGAAACCAAGUCACCCUCUCCAUCUCAUUAACCCCACACGUGCAGGUGAGGUGGUUCGUGACGUGGAUCACAACAACCGGCGCAUGGCGCAGCUCGAGGAAGCGCUUCGGGCUGCGGGAAUACCCAUACCGCCGCCGCAACAAGCUACCGCCGUAGCGGUGGCCUCAGGCCAGGAACCGGCCGGCCAGCAGCAACGACAGCGCAAUCCCAUUGCGGUGACGGCGGGCGGUCUGCAGGACGGCGGAGCCACGGGCUUUGCGCCUGGGCGCAAGAUGAUGGCCUUAGAAGGUGGGUGGCAGGGAAAACAAACACUGGAAGUGGGAAAGUGCAGGGAGUUGAGGGCGAAAGGGUGCUUUGUGCACCAGCCCAGAUGGGUUCGCACGGCCCGAGGGAUACGUUGUUUGAAUAGUGAUGCGUUUAAGGGCAGCCAAGGGGCCUAUGGUGAGGCAGGACGCAAGCACACCUUCAGGGCGACACCGGCCCUUCUUCUGCCGCAACUGAAGGCCUUGUGGUAGGUGCGUUUGGAAAACCCGUGUCUGCAUGCAAUCUGGCUCUUCCCUUUUGAAAAGGCCUCCUGGAUUGCCCGGCCCCUUCCCUAGGACUUGAGCUUUGGAACCAUGGCCGUCUGGGUCCGGUAACGGGUUGUCCCUCUUGCACCUCACAGUAUGUGCCCUUUCCUUCAGCAUACGCGCGAGCUAACGCUUCUCUGUGCACCUGCCUGAUGACAGGCCUUCCGGAGCCGACCAAGGCAGAGCUCGCCCGCAUGGCGGAUGACCUGAAGCGCGUGCAGGCCUUCCUGGGCAUGAGCCCCGCCGGUGUGGUGCCGGUGGCUGCUGCAGCCCCCGAGGUCGCCAAGGCCGUGGCGGUGGCGCCGGCGGAGGGCCGCAACACGGGUGUGGAGCCGUGGGGCGCACCGGGCAGGGAGCCAAGACAACCAGGACAGGAAGUCAAGAACCUGGGUGAGUUAACGGUCGGGGGGUCAGCGGUCAGGAAAACACAGAGAGGAGGGGGCGCUGGGGGCGUGAGAGGCUCAAUCCUGACCUGUGCCUAUUCGAUAUGUUUUUGCCGCUCCGCGAGGCGGCAUUGCCGAAUUGGCGUAAGGCUAAUGGCGCAGGUCACUUUUUGCGGUCAGAGCUGUGCGUGGGGGAGGAGGACGCGGUGACUCAAUUCGGCUCUGCUCCUACUAUUGCUGCCUCCCUGGACAGCCAACCCUUUAGCAUCUCUUCAGAUCAUCCCCUUUCUCCCUCUUCCUCACUGUCUGGCAUGUGUGCAGGUGAGGUGGUUCGUGACGUGGAUCACAACAACCGGCGCAUGGCGCAGCUCGAGGAAGCGCUUCGGGCUGCGGGAAUACCCAUACCGCCGCCGCAACAAGCUACCGCCGUAGCGGUGGCCCCAGGCCAGGAACCGGCCGGCCAGCAGCAGCGGCAGCGCAAUCCCAUUGCGGUGACGGCGGGCGGUCUGCAGGACGGCGGAGCCACGGGUUUUGCGGCGCCUGGGCGGAAGAUGAUGGCCUUAGAAGGUGGGUGGCAGGGAAAACAAACACUGGAAGUGGGAAAGUGCAGGGAGUUGAGAAGAGGGUUUUGGUGGGUGCUUAACGAAGGGUGUGGUCUCCACGUCCAUGAGGCUCGCUUCAUCUUGGGGGUCAAGGUGGUCUUGGGCGUUGUGUUCCAAGCGCCAUGGGCCGGAAUAAUCUGCGCGCUUUCAGGCCGCUGCGCCAGAGGCCUGAGGCCAAAGGAAUCUCUGCACUCAAAGCUGCGACCUGAUACUGCACCUGGUCCUGGUUGAUAUGACUUCAUGGUUAUGUAUCCGUUAAUGGCAUCCCCGCGUCCAUUACGUGUUUACCAGAACCUUGUUUUCUUGACGUAGUUCUUGCUGCAUACGGCGCAAAGUAGUAGUUUUACCACUACCGACAAUUUUAGUUUUAGGGUGACCUGAUUGUGGGUUCCCCGGGUUCCUGGACUUCCGUCCUCGCAUCGUCUUGCCCAACAGGCCUUCCGGAGCCGACCCAGGCAGAGCUCGCCCGCAUGGCGGAUGACCUGAAGCGCGUGCAGGCCUUCCUGGGCAUGAGCCCCGCGGGUGUGGUGCCGGUGGCUGCUGCAGCCCCUGAGGUCGCCAAGGCCGUGGCGGUGGCGCCGGCGGAGGGCCGCAGCACCGGUGUGGAGCCGUGGGGCGCACCGGGCAGGGAGCCAAGACAACCAGGACAGGAAGUCAAGAACCUGGGUGAGUUGCGGUUUGCUAUGGACCGGCUAUAGAGCUAAGCAUUGAUGCUUAGGAGAGCCGUACUCAGUCAGGACAAGUGGGGCAUCUGCAGGACGUAGUCUCACUCAAUAAUGCUGUCAGUCAGCCCACCUCGGAAGGCGAAGGAUUCUGAUUAGGUGCCUUGGCCUAAAUAGGUAUGCGUCUGAGGACCCUUCUGUCAAUCGCACGUCCCUAGGCUGCCCUAAUUCGUUGCGCCUGCCAUUCCAUAGCCUGGUCUUGCUCGGCAUGUAUGUUGUCCGUUGGCUUCGGAGACAUGUAAUUACAGGCGACUGGGCGGCUAUAUGCAGGUAAGGGCGAUAGUCGCAGACCUCCCAAAAUGCACGCUUCUGCUGCCGGCGUCACCUCGCGAAGUCACAAAAGGCCCCAUUGGUGUCAACCGCAACACAGAAAUUCUGUUGCGAUUUUGCUAUGGCUGCUGCUGCUGCUGCUGCUGUUUCAGCUGCUGUUUCAGUCAUCGUGAUACGUUUUGCCAUGGCGGGCGUGCAGGUCGUGGCCCAGGGGGGGAGCCGUUAACCUUAACCCUGCUCCCAAGGCGCUCCCUGCCCACCAUACCUCAGGAACUUUCCAGCUGUGCACGCGGUAUCGCACGCAAACCCCUACACCUCCCUGCCAUCCGUCCUUUCUCCCUUCUUCCUCAACCCAUGCAGGUGAGGUGGUUCGUGACGUGGAUCACAACAACCGGCGCAUGGCGCAGCUCGAGGAAGCGCUUCGGGCUGCGGGAAUACCCAUACCGCCGCCGCAACAAGCUACCGCCGUAGCGGUGGCCCCAGGCCAGGAACCGGCCGGCCAGCGGCAACGCAACGCCGUCAGCGUUUGGCCUGGACUGGGCUCUGAAGGCGCCGCGGGCAUGGCGCCGCCGCGCAAGCUGGCCGCCAUGGAAGGUGCGCAGCGUUCAUGUGGCUACGGUUAUGGAGGCACUGUGCUGUGUUGUGCUGUGCUGUGCGCGCGUGUGUGUGGCGUGUAUAUGUGUGUAUGUGUGUUGCGUGGAGUUCUUGUACUUUGGGAUUGACCAGGAAUAGAUUGUGAUGUACCCUGCCGGGGCCGCGCUGUGGCCUGCGGCUGUGAUGUCUUGCCGCUGUUGCGCCGGCACGGCAGUUGCAGGGGUGUGUGCGCAACCGCGUUUCUCUCGCAAUUCCUCUUUCCUGCCCAGAUGCCAGUUUCUCACCGCGAUCCGCUGGUGUGAACCUUUCAGCUUAUUCCUCUACCGUUCCUCUACCGUUUCUCGGGUGCUGGGCUUGCCGUCCUACUCGGUCUUGCUGCGAAAACGCCUCGGGUAGCUAUGCGUUGUGCGUGCUUCCUGGUUCGCCACCAUGCUCGGCGUGCCCUUUAUGCAGGCGCUUUCGAAAAAGUGGCCUCCCCCGUUAUGGCCUUUGCUCGUCGGCAGUUGACCCUUUGCUUCUUGCACUGAUUCCCUUCCCCCUCGAGCAGGUCUUCCUGAACCAGCACAGGCGGAGCUCGCCCGCAUGGCGGAUGACCUGAAGCGCGUGCAGGCCUUCCUGGGCAUGAGUCCCGCCGGUGUGGUGCCGGUGGCUGCUGCAGCCCCCGAGGUCGCCAAGGCCGUGGCGGUGGCGCCGGCGGAGGGCCGCAGCACGGGUGUGGAGCCGUGGGGCGCACCGGGCAGGGAGCCAAGACAACCAGGACAGGAAGUCAAGAACCUGGGUGAGUUGCGGUCGGCGGGAGGUCGUUGGGGAAUACGCAGGAGGUCAUGGUGUUUUGCGAAGUAUGCGUGAGAUCCUGGGUACCUUGUCUGCUCUCGCUCCCACACAGAGUGCUCCCACAGAGUGCUCCCACAGAGCCGCGAAGUGGCCUUUCGAAGUUGGAGAAGUAAAGGGUUCCCGAUUUAAAGUAUGGGCCACCUAAGCUAUGGGAUAUGGGGUUCUGACAGCACAGGGCCACAUCAUGUUGCAUCGAGGCACGGAUGGAGGCAGUGUGAAGGGGAUGCAAAAAGACGGGACAUUUCCUCGAUGCCGUUCCCUACGCCGUACUGCACUGGUAUAUAUCACCCCCCAUGCUGGCCGGCCGUACUUUGAAAACCUGUUUUCACACGUCAUCUCUUCUUUCCGACCGAAAUGCAUGGGAAUGCUUUGACCUUUGACCCCCUCUUGAAUGGAUUUAUACAUGCGAAACGGAAGCCUGGGAAGGCCGUGGCGCCGUUACUUUCCGCCGUUUUGUUCACGCAGCUUUUGUCCUAUCCUCUCCCAGUUCAACAUUUAGAUCCUUCUUCUACCUUACCCAUUUGGAUUCCCGGGGAAUUCAUCACACUCCGUGCCAUUCCCUUUCUCUACUCAUCUCCCUCCGCACCACGCAAAUUCCAUUCCACUUCAUUCUAUUCCAACCUGUUCCUUCACGUUCCA